AGAGUUUGAUCMUGGCUCAGGAUGAACGCUAGCGGCAGGCUUAAUACAUGCAAGUCGAACGGGAUCCGAGGUAGCAAUACUUUGGUGAGAGUGGCGCACGGGUGCGUAACGCGUAUGCAACCUACCUWUAACUGGGACACAACCMGCCGAAAGGCWGGCUAAUAUYCCAUAACAUUGCGAUGUGGCAUCACAUUGCAAUUAAAGCUCCGGCGGUUAUAGAUGGGCAUGCGUGACAUUAGCUAGUUGGURAGGUAACGGCUYACCAAGGCYWCGAUGUCUAGGGGUUCUGAGAGGAUUWUCCCCCACACUGGUACUGAGACACGGACCAGACUCCUACGGGAGGCAGCAGUAAGGAAUAUUGGGCAAUGGACGCAAGUCUGACCCAGCCAUGCCGCGUGAAGGAUGAAGGCCCUAUGGGUUGUAAACUUCUUUUAUACGGGAAAAAACCUYCGGUCGUGAAYCGGAGCUGAUGGUACCGUAAGAAUAAGCAUCGGCUAACUCCGUGCCAGCAGCCGCGGUAAUACGGAGGAUGCAAGCGUUAUCCGGAUUCAUUGGGUUUAAAGGGUGCGCAGGCGGAGUGAUAAGUCAGUGGUGAAAUCCUACGGCUCAACUGUAGAACUGCCAUUGAUACUGUCAUUCUUGAGUACUGUUGAGGUGGGCGGAAUGUGUCAUGUAGCGGUGAAAUGCUUAGAUAUGACACAGAACACCGAUCGCGAAGGCAGCUCACCAAGCAGAAACUGACGCUCAUGCACGAAAGCGUGGGGAUCAAACAGGAUUAGAUACCCUGGUAGUCC
RNAcentral lists this ribosomal RNA (794 nucleotides) under uncultured bacterium. RNAcentral's name for it is "bacterial SSU rRNA". It matches the Rfam family "Bacterial small subunit ribosomal RNA", at positions 8 to 796 of the family's 1533-position model. The record is from RNAcentral.